RNAcentral lists this long non-coding RNA (514 nucleotides) under Mytilus galloprovincialis (Mediterranean mussel). The record is from RNAcentral. Lineage: Eukaryota; Metazoa; Mollusca; Bivalvia; Mytilida; Mytilidae.
GCAUGACAAAAUCGAACAGUAACUUGUAUCUUUCACAAGAUUUGAAUUUGUUAUACUCAGUCUAAUACAUGUAGUUUCGGAGCACAUUUUACAGAGUACGGUUUAUCUGUUUGGAAUGAGAUGUACCAAUCGGCAUUAGAUUUAUCAGAACCCUUCGAUAUCGUUGAAAUUAUGCCACGGCGAUGUGUUCGACUGACUACCAGAGCUACUCAUCCUGCAAACACGCCAAAACAGUUUUGGAAAGUCUCAUUAUAUUUGCGUUUAUAGACCAUAUGAUAAUGGAACUGGAGAGUGGAGUCGCGUCUGGUAUUAUCAGAAAAUUGCUUCCAGGGCCGUAACUACAUUGAGGCAAAUGAGGCAAAUGCCUCAUGUUUUAAAUUAAAAAAAAAAACAAAAAAAAAAAAAAACAAAACAAAAGAUUGUCUCCAUAUGAUUGUCUUCCAUAUCAAAUUGUUUUCACUGAAAGUGUCUUGCAAGAAGCAAGUUCUCUUCACUCUCUGAUGUCGCCCCUGCA